AACGAACGCUGGCGGCAGGCCUAACACAUGCAAGUCGAGCGAGAUCUUCGGAUCUAGCGGCGGACGGGUGAGUAACGCGUGGGAACGUACCUUUUGCUACGGAAUAGCCCCGGGAAACUGGGAGUAAUACCGUAUGUGCCCCCUGAUGUAAGAAUUGGGGGGGAAAGAUUUAUCGGCAAAGAUCGGCCCGCGUUGGAUUAGGUAGUUGGUGGGGUAAUGGCCUACCAAGCCGACGAUCCAUAGCUGGUUUGAGAGGAUGAUCAGCCACACUGGGACUGAGACACGGCCUAGACUCCUACGGGAGGCAGCAGUGGGGGAAUAUUGGACAAUGGGCGAAAGCCUGAUCCAGCAAUGCCGCGUGUGUGAAGAAGGCCUGAGGGUUGUAAAGCACUUUCAAUCGUGAAGAAAAGUUGCAAGGCUAAUACCCUGUGACCUUGACGUUAACGAUACAAGAAGCACCGGCUAACUCCGUGCCAGCAGUCCCGCGGUAAAGUCACAUGUGC
RNAcentral lists this ribosomal RNA (503 nucleotides) under uncultured bacterium. RNAcentral describes it as "bacterial SSU rRNA". It matches the Rfam family "Bacterial small subunit ribosomal RNA", at positions 29 to 535 of the family's 1533-position model. The record is from RNAcentral.